Molecule: non-coding RNA, 3944 nt
Organism: Oryctolagus cuniculus (rabbit)
Lineage: Eukaryota; Metazoa; Chordata; Mammalia; Lagomorpha; Leporidae
Source: RefSeq, a predicted model, not a curated record
ACUGCCCCACUGCUCCACUUCCCAUCCAGCUCCUUGUUAAUGGCCUGGGAAAAGCAGCAGAAGAUGGCCCACAUGUUUGGGUCUCUGCCAGCCAUGGAAGAGAAUAAAUGAAGCUCCUAGCUCCUGGCUUUGGCCCGACCCAGCCUUGGCCAUUGCAACCAAGAGGGGAGUGGACCAGCAGAUGAAGUCUCUCUCUCUUUCUGUCUAUGACAGUGGCUUGGAAUUGGCUUUCAUGUUACACUUUCACUUAAGAAAGUAAAUGAAGAGCAUUAGAGGCAGAUCUUGAUUAAAAGAAUUUUAAAAGAAGCCAACAUCUUGAGAGGACCCACCACCUUUUAAAAGCACCUAUUAAUGCAAUUGCUGGGUAGAAGGAAAGGUUCUAUGACAAUUUCUACCCUUUGAUUUGGCUAAUAGGAAAUUCAUUUGAGGAAAUGUGAAGCCUAAAUUAUAUGACAUGUAUGAAUAAGGACUGAGCAGUGAAUAUGUGCUAUAUCUGUCUCUGUAGACACACACGUUUAUGGUAUGUGAGAUGCUCCAAUUGGCAACAAGCAUUAAUACAUGAAUUGGGAACUAAUCAGAUGUGUGAGAUGUGAUUGCUGUUUCUGGACUAACUAAAUAUCUCUCAGCCAUCCAAUUAUGAGGACCACUCAUUGAUCCCUUUCUAGGAAAAAAGGAAUGCACCUAAAGGGAGAGAAAGGGGAAUGGAGUUGUGAGAUACUACAGGUUCAUUGAUUCAACAAAGGCUUCUUUCCCACAGAAUCAUCUGGAAUAAUUAUUUUGCUGUGAGGACAGAUAUGAGCAUGACCCUCCCUGACUUAUCGAACAAACCUGUGGCUUGCACCCAAUCUUCAAAAACCUGCUUGUCAAGUUGUUCCUGGACUUCAGACCGGGUUACUCCAAUUUCUACCACAGCUACUGAACAAGGAGGCAAGUCCAAAGGCUUGUUGUGGAAUAAAAAGAGAAAGGCAUUUCUCAUACAUAUCAUAUGAUUUUCUGGCAUCUGAUACCAUGUUCUGGUGACACAAAGAAAUUGGUGGUCCCUUCCCCUGAGGCAGUGGAGAAAAAUACUUCAUUCCAGAGUGCCGCCUUCAGGCAGGUUAGCUGUAACAGAGAGGUGACGAACUACACAGAUUUCCUGAUAAGCAGAAGACAGUGGCAAACUGAGAAACUGACUCCAUGUCACUUACUUAGAUGGGAAGAAUAACUGAAUAUUAAGCUAGGAUCAACCUACAAUUGCAGCCAGCCUUUGAUUCCAUGUGGAAUUACUUAUUCCUUAAUACUAAGCUGACCUUACAAUUUAACAGCCAAUUGUGAUACCUUUGAGAAAGGAUGACAUGCUGUUAGACAUUCCAGAACAAUACGCAUAAGUAGGGCUUUCUUACACAGCCAAGGGUUUAGGAUAGCUCUAUCUGACACUAAUCAUGAAGGAAUUGAAACAGUAGUCAUCAGAAAGUGGGGGACUUUAGUUUCUGUCCUUACUAGAACUCAUGUACUGAGACCUCUACCCCGACACACACACAGCUAUGAAUCAUAUAAAAUUGAGUCUCAUUUCAAGAUAAAUAUAGAAUCCAGAUAAUAGCUCUUAUAUGCAUCUAUGAGAGACCCACCACCUCAAUCCCUCAUCAGACCAAAUGCUUUUGGGUUUUUGUUUUACCUGCCAUGGUUUGCCGUGAUUGAAAAUGGUGUCAAGUUCUAGACCCUAAAUACCUCCUUUAACCUUUAUCUGAAACUAAAAUUACCUUCUCUUCAAUCAAAGCUCCUCCGACACAUGCAUUUUUAUUGCUGGAAAGAGAGGUGGUCAGAUCUGAGGUGAAACAUCUAAAAGAAGAAUGAAAAGAAGAUGCUAAGAACAGUCUUCUUAAAUUGCCAGGUUUUAUUCCCUGCUAGCUUACCUUUGGGCAUUACUUAAAUUAAGUCUCCUUUUCUGAACCUGGGCCACAUUUCAAAAUCCCUCUUCUAUUAUUUUAGCCUAGAGAGACCCUAACCCAGAGAAGAAGGAGUGAUUAUCGCCACUGCCUAACCUCUUCCCUCUAGUCUAAAAUCUGUUGACUCUUCAAAAAGGUCAAAGCGGCACUGUUUCAAUUUAUGUAUUCUUCCCAGGACAGGUGCAAAUACAAGCUCAUCAAUUCUGUCCUUAUCCCUAUGGAGCUUAAUAUCCAACUGGAUGUAUGGUUGUGUGUUCUUAUCCAAUGCUUCAAUCAUCUUGCCUAGCAAAGAGCCCAGGAAAUGAAUCCUAUUUCAACCAUUUCCCUAGCACAAGGAAUAGGCAAGAGACCCUGAGAACAGGGAGCUCUACCUUUAAGACAUACAUUUUUUCUUUAAAAGCUGGUGGGAAAUCCAGCCAUUUGUUAGGACUUCACAGAUCUCAGACAUAGAGAAAGUGAUACUUUGGUUGCUUUGCUGAAGCCACUGGCAGCACAGGAAUACACCAAGUGGAGCUGAACAAGCAUGCCACAGGCAGUGAGCCAGGAUGAGGAUCUUCAGCACAGAGGAGGGCCACACAGUGCUCUCAAUAUGUACAGCACCAUGGCGUGGAGCCAAGGAAUAUGGCGAAAAAGCAUGGGUUUAGCAAUCAAGGAAGCCAACAAAUGCCAGGGGCCCCAGUAUUCCUCAUAGUUGAUUGUUCUGGGACCUCUGCCCAAGCUAUGAAGAAGAGCACCUUUUUCAAAUGACCAGAGAUGGGCAAAAAUAUUGUCUGCUAAAAUCGUUGAAAUCUUCCAAUUACUUCAGGAUUAAGGCCAAAAUGCCUUAAUCCAGUAUGCAAGUACCUCAUAGCUUAACCAACCUAUACCAAAUUUUCUACACUCCUGGGUUUUUUGCAUGCAUUUACUCAAUACUCUGAGAAUGAUGUUCUACUCAUAUACUUUGAAAAUACUCUAUUUUUUUUUAUUACCCCAUGACUUUUCCUGUUGAAAGCCACAGUAACCUUCACUGAUCUGAAAGAUUGCAAUACCUAAUGCCAACAUCAAAAUUUGUUUGUCAGAUAGGAGGUGCUUGAUAAAAUUAAUUGACUGAACCUAUAAAUGCUGUUGUUCCUUCUUGUCUGAGGCCUGAAUGAUCACAUUCUUACAUACUUUUUUAUUCUUUUGGCCAGCGUCUCUGUGACAAGUUGGCACCCCACAGCACCAGGACAUCUAUUCAAAUGGUUGUGUUCAUUCUUGGACCUGAGAGAUAGGUAGGGAAAGAACAAUGGCUAUCCUGUGUGAUGGUUCAUUUUGUGUGCCUGCUUGACUAGGCCAUGGAAAACCCAAAUAUCUGAACUAACAUUAUUUCUAGAUGUCUGUGAGGACAUUUGAACAGAUUACUGGAUGAGUUGGUGAACAAAAUAAAGACCAGGCUCACAUCUUCUCUCCCGGAUCUCUAGUUUUCAAGUCUGCAAAAUAUACCAUCAGUUUUUCUAGGUCUUCUACUUAUAGACAGCAGAUAAUAGGACUUCCCAGUCUGUUUAGCCAUGUGAGCUAAUUUUUGAUAGUAGAUAAUAUUUUAUACACUAUUGAUUUUAUACAAAUUAUAUUCACAUCCUAUUGGAGAUACGUGUGUGUAGGUGUUUUUAUUCUACUGAUUUUGUUUUUCUGGAAAACGUUAAUAUUCUCUGUCAUGCUGGCAUCUGCAACAGAGAAUGUGCCUGAUCAGUAUUCAUACAUAAAACUAAUAUGGGGGCCGGAGCUGUGGCAAAGUGGGUUAAUGACCAGGCCUGAAGUACUGGCAUCCCAUAUGGGCGCCAGUUUGAGACCCGGCUGCUCCACUUCCUGUCCAGCUCUCUGCUAUGGCCCAGGAAAGCAGUAGAAGAUGGCCCAAGUCCUUGGGCCCCUGCACCCACGUGGGAGACCCAGAAGAAGCUCCUGGCUUCAGAUCAGCGCAGCUCAGCUCUGGCUGCUGCGGUCAUUUGGGGAGUGAACCAUCGGAUGGAAGAUGUCUCUCUCUCUCUCUGCUUCUCCUCUCUG